Molecule: long non-coding RNA, 2094 nt
Organism: Amphiprion ocellaris (clown anemonefish)
Lineage: Eukaryota; Metazoa; Chordata; Actinopteri; Pomacentridae
Exons: 2
Source: RefSeq, a predicted model, not a curated record
AACCACAGGUAGCAGGGCUCCUCUGGAGGACUGAGAACUCUCUCACCUGUCAUUCACACACAGUGCAGCUCGAUGUCUCGCCUUGUCUAAGACAAAUGUCUCCCAUGGGAGACAAAUAAAGUGAACUUUGAUGUCAAAAUGACUGGGAGGAUAACAGACUCAGAAAGAGACAUUCAGAACGUACAGAGUGCCCCUGUAUGUUACUAGCACCACUCCAAAGACAUCACUGACUGAGAUGUAUGUUUCUGUGAUGAACAGAUCAAUAGAUACACUGGUGGACACCGAUGAACAACAAGAAGUCACUGCUAGGUUGGAGCGAUACAGAUAAAUCACUGCCUUAAUGUGUUUACAAAAAACAACACCUGGACUAGAUCAAAACAGAACAACACAUGAAGACAGACAGAAAGCAAGACCUGGAUGAGCGUGUGGGUUUGUCAGGACUGUCCGUGGAAUGUGUAAAUUACCUAGUGGAACCCAGCCAGCCAGGCAGACUCCAUUUUAGCUCCUCUGCCCCAGGAGCUCCCUGACUAAAGUCUGCCCAUCCCCCAGGAGGACAACCACCCUGCUCUGAAUGACACUUCUGGAAAGAGCUACCAAACUAAAACCACCAGGAUUAAACAGCCUCCUCUCACUGCAACACCAGAAGAGCGUCUGACAUUAAAUAAAACCUGAAGCAGCUCUCCUUCCUGUGGUUCUGCUGCAGUGACUCAGCUCAAACAGCUCAGAGGAGGAGCUCAUCUGCUCACCUUUCAGGGAAGUCUCCACCAGCCGCAGGUACUGUUUGGACCGUUUGUUUCCGUGACUCAUCUUCUGGGCCAUCCCGUUCCUCUGCAGCACACACUCCUCCAGCUGCACCACGUUCUCAUGCCUCUUCUCCAGACUCGCCAGCGCCCAGAACUCCUGCAGGGCGAGCUCCACGUUUUCCGGUGCGUCGCAUCGCAGCUUCUUCACGGCCACCGUAGCCCCGGACCUGCGGGCCACGGCCUCGUACACCACCCCGUACGUACCCCGGCCCACCUCCCGCAGCAGGCUGUAGCGGGGCGCCCUGGGCUUCUGCUUGAACAGCCCGGUGUUCUCCUCCAUGUCAUGGUCUCCUUCCGUGUUCCCCACGUUCAGACACCGCAGCACGCCCGACUCGUCCGCUCGUGCACCGGGGCAGGCUUGCGCGCUCCUCGUGCGUCUCCGCCAGUCAUCGCCGUCGCCGCCAGCUGUAUCCAUACGGCCCCGUGAACGUUUCCCCGGUUACACGUUCAGCAGCAACGGUGACAUGUCGUCCACCGGAGGCGUCCUCGCCAUUCCUCACUCUCAUUUAGUGAAAGGAGCAGCGGGACGAGGUAAACACGAGACAAGACUGCUGCUGCAACGUCAGAGUAUCCGCUCUGCACCUUCACAAUAAAAGCCUGGAAGUUCCUUUUAAAUCAAUACGCUUUACGUAUACAACAUACAAGGACUGUUGUUGUUACCCUAGGAGUAAGGAAAGAGAAUAAUAAUAAAAAGAAACGAAAGAAGGAAGAAAAGGGAAAAAAUAGCAGUAAUAAAAAUAAAUAGAACACAAUAUAUACAGAUAUUUACAAGCUAGAAAGGAACAUAUAAACACAGUGGUGCAAAAUGAUAUUUGCUAGAUGAUAAUACAGUGCAAAAAGCAGAGAAUGCUGUUCAUAGUGCAAAAAGUAAUGUACAUAUCCAUUGGAAUACUGUAUACUGUACAGGUGUGGAGGAAUGGCUCAAGGCUGCCAUCUGCAGCUCCACCUAUUAACAAAUUAAUAAAUAAACAUGAAUGGGACUGAUUAAUGAAACAUCUGUUUCAUAGAGAGGGUCAUUGGAGUUUCCCUCACCUCUGUUCAGAACGUUUCCAGUUCCGCUGCAGGAGCAGAGCUCUGAACAUUGUCAGGGACUCCUCACACCUUCUCCACAAACUGUUUGAACUGCUACCAUCAGGCAGGCAUCUCAGGAGCAUCAGAGGAAAAACCACCAGACUGAUGAACAGCUUCAUACCACAGGUGGUCAGAUUACCAAACUGCUGACCUGGUCUUUAGAUACUGGAGAAACGCUAUCUCAUCGAAUAAGAUGACAAUAAAGAUUCAUUUGACCUGA